RNAcentral lists this unclassified non-coding RNA (877 nucleotides) under Pocillopora damicornis (cauliflower coral). RNAcentral describes it as "vesicle transport protein SFT2A-like, transcript variant X2". Lineage: Eukaryota; Metazoa; Cnidaria; Anthozoa; Scleractinia; Pocilloporidae. The record is from RNAcentral.
AGCAAGAUGGCGCCCGCUACCUUACAGAAAAUUCGGGAUACAAUCACGGGAAAAGAGACUCAAGACGAUUCAUUGAUAACAGAGAUUUCUGAUGCAACCACACUGAGCUGGUCCACAAGGAUCAAAGGAUUUAUCAUAUGUUUUAUUAUUGGUGUGUCUUUCUCCUUUCUGGGAAUGAUUUUGUUAUGGAAAGAUAUAAAAUUAUUUGCUGUGUUCUACUCACUGGGUAAUGUAACAGCUCUUGCAAGUACAUGCUUUCUUAUGGGUCCUAUGAAACAGCUGCGAAAUAUGUUUAAAGAAAAGCGUCUGAUUGCUACCAUUGUAAUGCUGACCUGUCUGAUUCUUACUUUGUGUGCAGCACUCUGGGUAAGAUUUCACUUGGUUUCUAAGAUGUACAUGAAUUACAAAGACUUUAUUAAUUAACUGAUUUGACACUACUUAAUGAGUUUUAGAAGGCUGCCAGAUCAUUAAAUUUGUAGUACGAUGAGUAUUGAGGUAUUUUUGAAUGUUUCAAUCUCAAGUACAUUGGUUCUUACCUCAACUGCCUCCUCAGUCCCUCUCAAUGUCAUUCAGCAAGAUGGCAUAAAAACAUUGGCAAUUAACAACAUUGGAUGGGGAGACCUGAUAAAAGACCAUCAUUGACACUUUUCGGUGAAGUGUUCCAACUAAUUUUGUCUGGGAGUGUAGUCUUGUUUUGAUGUGAUAUAUAGUUUAUAGGGAGAUGCUGUAACCUAAUGGUCAGUGCACAGGACUCUGGGUAGAGAGGUCUAGGUGCAAGACCUGGCUGGUGGAAAAACAAGGGACUGGCUUUGGUUUUCUGUAUUCUUCAGUAUUUAGCCAUGACAUGGUACUGCCUAUCCUACAUUCCAUUUGCAAG